GACGAACGCUGGCGGCGUGCUUAACACAUGCAAGUGGAGCGACGAACCGGGGCUUGCCCCGGGGCAGAGCCGCGAACGGGUGAGUAACACGUGGGUAACCCACCCGAUGAUUGGGACAACCCGAGGAAACUCGGGCUAAUACCAAAUGUGCCCUUGGUCCAUGAGGACCUCGAGUAAAGAUAGCUUCGGCCUUCGCAUCGGGACGGGCCCGCGGCCCAUUAGCUUGUUGGUGAGGUAACGCUCACCAAGGCGACGAUGGGUAGCUGGUCUGAGAGGACGAUCAGCCACACUGGGACUGAGACACGGCCCAGACUCCUACGGGAGGCAGCAGUGGGGAAUCUUGCGCAAUGCGCGAAAGCGUGACGCAGCAACGCCGCGU
This 379-nucleotide ribosomal RNA is filed under the name uncultured bacterium. RNAcentral describes it as "bacterial SSU rRNA". It matches the Rfam family "Bacterial small subunit ribosomal RNA", at positions 28 to 402 of the family's 1533-position model. The record is from RNAcentral.